RNAcentral lists this ribosomal RNA (731 nucleotides) under Pyrearinus candelarius. RNAcentral describes it as "partial 12S ribosomal RNA". The record is from RNAcentral. Lineage: Eukaryota; Metazoa; Arthropoda; Insecta; Coleoptera; Elateridae.
GGGGGGGUACGCGUUUAAGAAUAAAUUUUAUAUGCCUUGGGAUUUAAAGUCUAUAAAAGUGUUAUAUUGGGUUAAUUUUUUAUUUUUGUAGUCUCAAAGUUUUAUUUUGGCUUGGAAUUUUAGUUUACUUAUUUUUUUACAUGUUAGGUUUAAAUGCUUAUAUAGCUUUUUUUGCAGUAUUUUAUAUUGGAAAUUUGGUUAUUCGAGAUUCAGAAAUUAGUAAGAGUUUUAAUUGAACUUGUGCCAGCAAUUGCGGUUAUACAAGUAAUGCAGCUGAAAUUUUUUGGUUAGUAAUUGGUUGUCAAUGGUUAUGUUUUAAGUUUAAAUUUUAGGGGUGAAAUUUGGAAUUUGGCUUAAGGUUUUAUAUUGGUUGUGAAGUUGUUAAAGUUUGAUAAUAAACUAGGAUUAGAUACCCUAUUAUUCUGACUGUAAAAUCUCGUGCCUGAUUAUUAGUAGAUUAUUUUCUUGAAAAUUAAAAAAUUUGGCGGUAUCUCAGUCUAUUCAGAGGAAUCUGUCCCGUAAUCGAUAGCCCACGAUUUGCCUUACUUCUUUUUUUAGUUUGUAUAUCGUCGUGCUUGACUAUUUCAGUAGAAUAAGAAUGUUCAGUUCUUUUUAUAAAAAGGGAUGUCAGAUCAAGGUGCAGCUUAUGGGGAAGUUGGGGGAAGAUUACAGUGAGUUUUAUUUUUGGUUUUCUUUUUUAAAUGGGAGUAAUAAAUAGGAUUUGAUAGUAA